GUGAAUCAUCGAAUUUUUGAACGCACAUUGCGCUUUUUGGUAUCCCGGGGAGUAUGCCUGUUUGAGGGUCAGUAUUAUUAUAAAAUCGGUUUUGUUGCAAAUUGUGCCGUUUCCGGAGUUUGGGCUAUCUUAACAUUUUUGGUUUCGAGGCUUAAAAUUGACAUUUUUUGCGUAUUUUUAAAUGUACAUAAAUUUUUUUUAUUAGUCUAUUCUUAAUGACACACUCAUAUUAGAUGCGAUCACA
RNAcentral lists this unclassified non-coding RNA (244 nucleotides) under Glomeraceae sp. RNAcentral's name for it is "partial contains 5.8S ribosomal RNA and internal transcribed spacer 2". The stretch from base 1 to 71 matches the Rfam family "5.8S ribosomal RNA", at positions 84 to 154 of the family's 154-position model. Lineage: Eukaryota; Fungi; Glomeromycota; Glomeromycetes; Glomerales; Glomeraceae. The record is from RNAcentral.